RNAcentral lists this ribosomal RNA (252 nucleotides) under uncultured bacterium. Its description in RNAcentral is "partial 16S ribosomal RNA". It matches the Rfam family "Bacterial small subunit ribosomal RNA", at positions 524 to 776 of the family's 1533-position model. The record is from RNAcentral.
UACGGAGGAUGCGAGCGUUAUCCGGAUUUAUUGGGUUUAAAGGGUGCGCAGGCGGCACGGCAAGCCGGCGGUCAAAUCGCGGGGCUCAACCCCGCCCAGCCGUCGGAACUGCCGGGCUAGAGUGGGCGAGAAGUGCGCGGAAUGCGUGGUGUAGCGGUGAAAUGCAUAGAUAUCACGCAGAAUUCCGAUUGCGAAGGCAGCGCACCGGCGCCCUACUGACGCUCAGGCACGAAAGCGUGGGUAUCGAACAGG